This 68-nucleotide transfer RNA is filed under the name Pseudocarcinus gigas. RNAcentral's name for it is "tRNA-Ser". Lineage: Eukaryota; Metazoa; Arthropoda; Malacostraca; Decapoda; Eriphiidae. The record is from RNAcentral.
AGUUAUUUAGUUUAAAUAAAAACAGAUAUUUUGAAAAUACCAAAUAAGAAGAAUACUCUUAAUAACUG